UUGCUUGUCAGCAGUCUUAGGGCUGGGUUUAAUUCAUAAUUACCUGAGCGUUGCAACUGUGGUCAACUCUCCUCUCCUUAACACUCACUCUCCACUCACUCUCUGCUUACUCAGGCACCCCAUUCUGAUUAAAUUAGGGCCAUUUGUCAUUGGCUAGAGCCUACGUAUUAUGAAUUGACUUUCUGUGCUACAGCUCUAGGGGGCAGUAUUUCAGAAAUUGCUGAUGGCUGGGUGUAGGGGUGGCCUAGGAGAGGAUGGUGUAGUUGGAGGAGCAUGGGGUUAGAAGAACUUCCUUUAGAAUUCCUUGUGUACUUGUUCAGUAAGCUUUCUGGGUUCUCGUUGAGUUAGUAAUAGCUUUUGUCAAAGCAAUGCUCAUAAUCUCUCUUCCCCCCCCCACCUGAAAUUUUUCACCCACUAGAUAAAAUGUAUUUAUUAUAGUUACCUGAAAAUGCCUUUUCCAGUGGUGGAUUUGGUUCUGCCUGAUGCCGUCUCCAAUGAGAAUUAUUAAAUGUAUACUUACUGGUAACUCUUUUGGUCUUGUUCCUGGUAGCUAACUUUCAGUUUUCUCUGUGGCCCAGAGUAGGUGUCUCUCCUCCCCCUCUCAUAACCUCUGAACCCAUGACUGUUGAGGUGACACUGCCCUUCUGCAAAAAGAUCAUGAAUGGCAUGGACUUAGAAUCCCAGCACUUGGGAAAAGGAGGCAGGACAAUCAUGAGCCACCCUGGGUCAUACAUGAGACCCUUUCUUAAACAGAAACAAUAAAACCUUGAGAUCACUGGCCUCUCAGUUCCUCUCAUCUCUUCUAUCUUUGGAACCACCUGGCUUUCUUGAACUGAUACUGUUUCUCCAUUAUUUGGUUCUCUACACCAAAAUAGCACAUUAAACAAACAAAAAAUCUAUUUGACUCAUAUUUGUUGGAGAAAGCGAUUCUACAAUAGGACUGGUGGUUUUCAAAGGCCAUCUAUUACAAAUGAGAAUGUAAGAUUCCAUGAGAGUAAGAGCAUUUCACAUCCGUUCCCUUCUACCGUCUCCAUGCUCACCCUAUUGCCAAGCAGAAGGUAUCAUGUUAAACAAAACCUACUGAAUGAGUUAACUAAGUGACGAUCUUAGAUACUAAAGUAUUAGGAAUGUUGCAGGCACAAUUGAGUUCUGUCUAGAGUUGUGCUCCCAGCACAGAGGCCACCAACCACAAGUCAGAUGUUUCACAGCCAUGUAUGGGUUGUCACAUGGGAGACCACAGUUCUGAAGCAAAGAGCUGUAUAAAAGAUGAGCAGGGGCCUGGAGAGAGGGGCCAGCAGUUAAGAGCUUUGCUGCUCUUCCAGAGAGCUCAAGUUUGGUUCCCAGCACCCAUGUCAGCUACCUGAAACUCCAGCUACUGGGAGUCCAACUUUUAUGUAGGAACCUACAUUCAUGUGGCAUACCCUUACACAGACACAGGGAUAUGCAUUAAAAAAAAAAGAAAAGAAAAGAUUUAAAGACAAACAGUCACUUGAUUUCAUGGGACAAAUCCCACUUCACCCCCCUCUUCCCCAUCUCCUUCAGCCCCUUUGUUGGAGUUAGGAGACUGAUUUUGUUUUAUGUGUUUUCAGGGUUCAGGAGUAACUUAACCCUUUUCUUCAUUGAAUUACAAAGAGCCAGGUUUUUCUUUGGAAGGAACAAAGCAUAGGAGCCAAAACAAAUUUUCUUCUUCUUCUUUUUUUUUUUUUUGGUCAUAUAAACUUGUAAACCUGGCAGCUAAGAUGCUGAAAUAGGAGACUCCCAGAUUCAAGGCCAGCCUGGGGUUUGGAGAUCCUGUCUGGGAAUAGAAAAGUUGGGUGAAAAAGUGAAAAUUUUCUAAGAUGAAACAGCUUGCCUAAGGAAAGACUUGGGACAGUAAUUGUUAACCAUGGAUUUUAGCAUUAGCAAUACUUGGGGACAUUUUACAGAACAUAAAUAACUCACCUCCUCCUACACUAUUGAAUCAAAACUCCAUGUGUGAGACGGAUCCUUGUGUAACAGGCUGAAGCUCACUCAAUGCUAUUAUGCUAUUGACGUGUGUCUUCGGUUAGUGUGAUUAGUAAGGCUGGAAAAAGCAAAUAUGCAUGUGGUUGUCACUUUACUUGCUUUUUAAAUUCUUCAAGCAAUAUGGUAAUAUAAAGCAUUAGGCUAAGCAAUUCAUUUAUUGGAUAAUUUAUUAGAAAAGUACCUCAUUGAAACCAGAAUAGGCCUAUCUAUGUAUUUUUAACUCUUAUUCCUUUUUUAGUUUACAUAAAUGUUCUAUGCCACCAUAUUUUUUUGAGGGUUCCUUUAAGCUAUCCGAUAGCAACAUGUAUAUAUUUUUUUACUUAGGAAUAGAAUUGUAAAACUCUUUGCAUGACUUCACUUCCGCUAGCCAUACCUAGAAAACAGUGUCCAUAUCUGUCUGGUGGUCUUUUUCCCUACUUUGACGUGAAUAAAGUUUGAAAUAGGUAACAAACUUUUUGCAAACCUUAGUUGCUAAUCUAAAAAUAAUGAUGGAGACUCUGAGGUAUCUAUUUUUGAGCAGUGUAAGUUUAGUAAGUUGUCCUUAAAAGCCAAGGACAACAUACUAGCUGGUAAUAUAAUAAUAGCUAGUAAGGUCUGGAUGCCAGAGCACCAUGGUAAGCAUUUUCCCAUGCCAUCUCUCUUUCACUUGUGAAAAUGGUGAACAGACUUUUUAGAGAUGAAGAAACUGAGGCUCAGGGAGGGUUUGUGACAUGUCCGUUAGGGCACAGCUAGUGUGAGUCACAGUGGCUGAACUUGAACCACUUGAAUUCUGACCACCAUGAUGGGCUCCUACUCACCCAUAUGGCCAGAGGAAGAUUCCUAGGCAUGCACUUCUUCGUUUGAACCAAAAGACAACAACCGUUCAAGAUGGUACAGGAGGAAGUUUGAGACAGAAAGGCCAAUCGCAUGGCGGGCUUUGCUGGUCUAUGAGUGAGGCUGGAGUAUUAUGCAGAGUGUGCCUGAGAUGGGCUUUGCAAAAUGAAUUGCUGUCUUGUUUCAUACCAAGCCAGUUGCAUUGUCUGUGUGAUUCUUGCCUCCUGGUGAGCAAGCCCUGCAUUAGCGAUGGCUUCCAGGUGACCAGGUGACCAUCCAAAGCCCUUUCUCUCAUUGAGCCCAUCCACUCUUUCUCUGUGGUAUCCACUGGAUGCAGGUUUGCCCCUGCCUAUGUUUUAAAGUGUGUGUGUUGAUUUUCUUUUGGUCGAUUAUUUUUUACAUAAGCAAGGUAAGUACUCCUGAGAUUUUUUGUGAAAAUCCUUUCACAUAACCUCAGAGUUUGUAAUUUGAAACCUCAUUGGCGAGAGAAUUGCAGCUAAGCAAAGGAAUCCAGAUGAGUUCUGACUUGUUCAAUCCAAGGACACAAAGGAACACAGCAAAAUGAAAGUCAGGGGCUUGUUUGGAAUUCUGUGACUUUUCUUUUCCCUGCAUAUGUUACUUAGACUGUAGUUCUGGUUUCUAAACCGUAUAAAACACUUGCUUCCAUGUCAGUCUAUAUGCCUUGUAGUGGUUUUAAUGAGUAACGUCACCCCAGACUCAUGGUUUGAACACUUACUACCCAGUUUUAUGCUACCAUUUCAAGCAGUGAAGCCUUUCAGGGAUAGGGCCUGGCUGACAGAAAGAAUUAUGCCACCAAGGGGAGGGGUGUCUUUGAAGAUUUUAACCACUCUUCCUAUCCAGGUCUCUCUGCUUCUUAGUCUAUCACCAUGUGACUGCCAUUGUCAUCAUAGAGAACUGAAAUACCUUUGAAACCAGGAGCCAAAAUAAGCCUUUCUCCAUUCAGCUGUUUCUGUUAAGUAAUAUCUCAGCAUGAUUCAAAAAUAAUAUCUCUAGACCAUAAGAUAUAAAUUGGGAAUUGAGUCACUUGCUCAUUUAUUCAUUCAAGCAUUUAUUGAUUUCCUUCCAUUUGAUUUUUAAUUCCAAGGGACUUACCUUCCCAAGAAGUAGAAUUUGCUUGCCCAACAAAUAUUUUUAAACCCGUGUUUUGCAUAUUUGCUAGGGAUCAUAAGAGGAGACAGAACAUGCCGUGUGGAGGGAAGGAAGGGAAAGAGACACACAGACAAUUGACAAAGACAGAGAAAGCUAGGUGAGUGAGUAGAGAUGAUGUAUCACAUGGUGUUGGAAAUCAAGCCUGAGUAAAAUGCUGUGUAGCAGGAGAGGCAUCUGAGAAUGUGUCACCUAUAGUGCAUUGAGACCUAAAGAAGGAAGGAGGCUUCCAGAGGGAUCAGCGGGAGUGGGGUCCUGAUAUGGCUCCUGUGGGAGAAAUGACAGAAAAAGUUAUGUGAAUGUAACAGAGGUGGGGAGUGGGGGGAGAGGUAUUCAAGAGAGGAGCUUCAAGGCCACGUUAGUGCUUUUUAGCUGCUACGAUAAAUCAAAAGUGACUUAAGGGAGAAAGGGCUUACACUUCUAGCUUACACUUCCAGAGGGAUAGUCCAUUAUGACAGGGAAGGCAUGGCACAGAGGCAGGGUCAGGAAGACAGUUGAUUACAUUUUUCAAAUCUACACGAAGGAAGCCAGGAGAGUACAGGAAGUAUAUAAUUAUUAUUCUGUUAUUUACUAGAUACUUAGAUGGUUUCAGAUAUUUACUUUAUGGAUGCUAAUGGGCAGAGUUUCAUCUAGAUGGUAGUUAAAAUUAUGUAAUAGACACCCUUCAUUCCAAACUCCCUUGUAGAAAAGUCAAGAAUGUUCCUUGAGACCUUAAUGAACUCAUGUUGUUUUUUCUGUCCUGCCUGAUACAGUUUAUGUCACUGUCACUAAUGCAUACUUGAGGUGGCAAAUCUUGCCAUUACUCUCUGACUUGGGUUUCAGUCUCCACACAGAGGCAGGUAGUGCUGGCACCUGGCAACCAAUUCACUCAUGGGGAUUCCAUGCAGUGACCCCUUACUCUCCUUAGCGUUAUUUUGUUCUAUUUCUUUUCUAUAUCCUUCAGAAGAGGCAAAGACUAAUUCUGGCUUUGAUGCCCCCAUAGGAAGCCUGCAAAACAACAACAAAAACCACAUUACUAAAGGCAUAGAUGGUCUUGAGAAACAUGACAAAGGGAAUUUGGAAAGCCAUAGUUUUACAGGUUGGAUCUAAAAUGUUCCUACAGGCAAUAUGUGUUGAAUGCUUAUUCUCUAGAUGGAAAACUAUGGAAACUUUUAGGGAUUGGUGUUAAGUUGGGCACGGGGGCUGGCUCUUGUAGCCCUAGUUGUGGCAGCCCGUGCUUCCUGCCCCUUCUACCACCAUGAACUCCAUCCAACCUUCCCUAUCAUGACUGACAGAGAGUUUCCAGAACCAUGAGCCCAAAUGAAUCUUUUCUCUUAUGAGUUUUUGCUGUGAGGUAUUUGUCAUAGUGAUACAAAAGUAGUUGAGACACAUAGGUAAGUGGAUGGAGGUUUUCUAAGGUGAUCCAGGGAGAAGAAAAGAGACAAGAAAUGAGCCAAGAGGUUCCUGAGCAUCUGUGUAUAUUGCCCUUUUUAUAUGCUAAAUAUUUUCUCAUUUAAAAAAUUACUUAAGUUUUUCUGUAUUACUCUGAAGAAUCCAUAAAGAAUAUAAGAGAAGAGAUUAUAUUUAUUAAGUACAUGAAUGUGUCUAUUCAUUUUUAUACAUGUCAUUUCACUUGAACUUCCAACACCCUGGUGAAAUUGGGGUGUUUCUCCUCAUUUAGUGGGUGAGUAGCAGAAAGCUCUGGGAGGUUAAUGACAUGCCAAGGAUUCAUGGGAGGUGUUAUGAUUUAAACCCUCUCUCUCCUUUCUUCCCUCCUUCCUCCCUCCCUCCUUCCUCCCCCUUCUCCCACCCUCUUUCUCUUCCUCCCUCCCUCCCCUCCCCCACCUUCUUUCAAAUGUGUGGGUGUGUGCACUUACUUGAAGAUGCUAGAAGAGAACAUCAGAUCACUCCUGGAACUGGAGUUAAAAGGCAGUUUUAGCCACACACACAGGUGAUAGGAACAGAACCCAAUCCUCUACAGGAGCAACCAGUUGUUCCUAACCACUGAGCAAUCAUUCCUGCCCUGCAAAGAUUUUCUUUCUGCCAAAAGCCACCUUGCUUGCUACUUGCAUAUGUAACGAAGUUGAUUGCUCACACUUUAAGGCUAUUUUUAAACUUAACAGAAUUACACAAUACCUUAGUUUUUAACCCAAAUAUCUCUAUUUACAAAAUUAUCUCCUAAACUCUCAGUUCUAUAUUCUCUGGAAGGAGAGCUUUCUGGUGUCUUUGUAAGGUUGACUCCAAAACGGACUGUGACUUGCCCCCAUCAUUGCUUGCAUCGUUGAAAAUAGUUUGUUGUUCACAGGAUCUGAUUUUUAGUUCAGAUCUCUGGGUUUCAAAAGUAAGUGUUCCUCCUGGUAGUCUAUAAACAUGCUGAUAGUGAGCCAAUGAAGAAAUUUAACAUGCCAUUAGAUGACAGAUUGUAAUGAUCCCAAAUAUGUUCCCUAAUUUCAUUUGAAAAAAAAAAAAAAACAGAGUGCAAGGAAUAAAAAAAAUUGCCAAACUUUGAAUUUUGACUUGGAUGGUACUGCUGACUGGCUCUUACAUGUUAUUCCUGUUGGUAAUAUAUCUUUCACCAGACUUCACAAAAAGUCAUGUUUCAUAUCUUUUGAUUCCCCGUGGUCUUAGUGGUUAAUCAAAAGUGACCCCCUCUCAAGCCUCCUCCAUGAUAUUUUUUUAACAAGUCCCACUUUAUAUAUUCUGUUCCAGCGAAUCAUUGGCCCCAGAAAAUACUUUAAGCGUGGAUUUUUAAAACUGUUAAGUGAGCUGUAUUUCUACCUGCCCACCAGGAAGGUACCCACAGGUGAACAUUACAGCAAGAAUAAUGAAGUCAGAUCCUCAUGCACUGUUCUCUCUCAGCCCAAAUCACUCCAACUACUAUGAUAUAUAUUGUUGUUUAGAUACAUUUAUCAGUACCUUAAGUAUUUAAAAUAGUGUGCUUUUCAGAUACCUUGAUUUCCUUUAUCUGCUAUUACCAAGAAAUAGUUUCUAAUUGCCCUCCCAAUAAAUAUUAUAUAGGC
Molecule: non-coding RNA, 6983 nt
Organism: Cricetulus griseus (Chinese hamster)
Lineage: Eukaryota; Metazoa; Chordata; Mammalia; Rodentia; Cricetidae
Source: RefSeq, a predicted model, not a curated record